Molecule: ribosomal RNA, 253 nt
Filed under: uncultured bacterium
Lineage: Bacteria
Description: partial 16S ribosomal RNA
Rfam family: Bacterial small subunit ribosomal RNA
Source: RNAcentral
UACGUAGGGACCGAGCGUUGUCCGGAUUCAUUGGGCGUAAAGAGCUCGUAGGCGGCUGUUCAAGUCGAACGUGAAAACUCGGAGCUCAACUCCGAGCCUGCGUUCGAUACUGGACGGCUAGAGUCUGGUAGGGGGAUCUGGAAUUCCUGGUGUAGCGGUGGAAUGCGCAGAUAUCAGGAGGAACACCGGUGGCGAAGGCAGGUCUCUGGGCAUUAACUGACGCUGAGGAGCGAAAGCAUGGGGCGCGAACAGG